Long non-coding RNA from Balaenoptera acutorostrata (minke whale), 1080 nucleotides. RefSeq lists it as uncharacterized. Lineage: Eukaryota; Metazoa; Chordata; Mammalia; Artiodactyla; Balaenopteridae. The record is from RefSeq and is a predicted model, not a curated record. The transcript is spliced from 4 exons.
CCCGAGGCUGCAGCGCCCGGCCCUGGGAUGCUACGGCGCCGUGGCCACCGCCGGCACCCGCGAGCCGGGGUCGCAGGGGCUGGGCGUGCGGGCAGGGGUCGGGGAUGGCCUGAGAGAGGCGCGACUUGGGGCCGUGGGAAGGAUGGUCUUCCCCGCAGAGUUGCGCUCGAGGACGGAAAGUUUUUGUACGCAGCCCCGCCAGCGCGUCCUUCCCUCGCCGGUCCCUGUCGCCCACGGUGAGGCGCCCCCGCGAGGAUCCCCGCCGCUUAGUGGGGAGGGGCCGAGCAGCCCCCCUCCCCGACGACCACCCCAAGCCAGGGAGGGGACCCUGGUGACCUCUCCUCCCAGCCACCUCUCCCUCCACCCUGUCUUCUUUUUCACGGUGGACCUUGGGCCGUGGAGGAUUCCUGCACCCUGCGGAUGCCUUUGGGAGCUGAGACCAGUGGGUAGAUGGAAGUGGUUCUAAAAAGCAGGCUGCUGCCCUGCAUCAAUUGGUGGAGACUGCUGUCUGAAACUUCUUCUGCCUGGAACUCCAUCCUGACAUGGACUUCAGGGCAGGGGUAACUUUCUGUGCCUGGAGGUGUAACAGUAAGAGAAGAUGACGCAGGAGGGCCUAGAGGAGACGAGGCACUGCGAGGGGUUGGAGGAAGAAAGGCUGGUGUGGGCCUCCCGGGCCACAGCCUCACCUCUGCUGAACAGUUUGAGAACCUUCUUUCCUAACACCCGGAACCCUUGUCUGCCAGCAUCUUGCAUCCCAAUUUCCCGUAACUCAGAACCCCAGAACAUCAGGAGCUUCUCACCUAAGACGGUCCUCAUUUCCAGCACACCAACUACACGUUCCUGUUGGUCAAAAUAAAUCCAAAACACAGGGUCUUCUUGCUGAGCAAGGAAUUGUCAGGAAGAUAACUGAAAAGGUAACCACUUGCUCUUCCUGUGGGCAACUGAAACUUGUAGCACAAGUCUGGGGAGGUGAGCCCUCUGGCCUUGCUCUCUUAUCUGUAUGCAAAGGUUUAUGUUAUGUUUUGGGAAAGCAUCUUUUAUCCACUUCAUUGAAUGAGCAUCUUUUCACUCCUAGACUUA